GUCAAAGAGCCUUUUAUAAAUUCAACUCUUUUCGCCAUUUUUUUAUUUUACUCUUUUUUAACGAAAUUUACGAAAUUAACGAAUAAGUUUUUAUCCAACCAUUUUUGCAUGUAUUUACUUUUCACCAGCUCAACUUCGAAAUAGUUUAUCAAAACGCAAAACGAGUAAAGGCCAUCAAGAGCGAGCCAACAGCCUUUCGAGUGUAAAGAAUGCUAAGGGUUGCUCUCUGCUCGCUCGAAUGGAUCCUACCUCGCCUGCAUAGCUCCGGCGAUGAGCGUCAGAAGCAGCAAAACCAUCAGCAACAGCAGCAGCAGCAAUAACACAGCCUUCAAGGUCGUCAGACAAGUUCACUCUGUACGCCGACAAAUGGAAGCCAUGAAUGAAGGAAUGAAUGAAUGAAUGAACGAGUGAGUGAGGGAGAGACUCGCACGAGUAAAAUAAAAGUCGGUUUGUGUGGAAAUUGCAUAAGCUAACCAACACAAACGUCGCACUGACUGCUGACUGGCUGACCACCGCCUCCUACCAUACCAAGGCCUAUCUGUAGCUGUGUAUCAGUGCCGCGCUUUCAUGCGUCUGUUUUUGGCUCUGAACACUAAGAACACUGCGAAAUGGAAGACGGCAGUUCUCGGAAUAUUGAGAAUUAAUUGUAAUAAGGAAAACAUAAAGAUGAAUGAUGAAAGAGCAACUCCAUAUAUUUGUAUGAAUAUAUGUACAGAUGUAUGUAUUAUAUCUAAGUAUUUAAAGAUAAACAACCCGCUGCAGUAGGAAACAACAAACAAACAUUUAAGAGAAAAAAAUUUAAAUAUAACACAAAAAAAGACAACAAUAAAAAGAGAGAAAAAGUAGUUAACGGAAAGAUAAAGCAGAAGUAGGAAAGGAAAGUCUUUUACUACUACCUCGAGGCAAGCCAAACGCAGCAUACGGACCUACGAGUAUUCUCAUUCACAUCCAAGUUGCACAUAAGAGAAUUGCACGUAAUCCACAGCCGUGUAAUAAGAACAAUUUAGAACAGCGAACUAUUUGGUGGACAAAAAUCCAGUUCUCAGCGUAGAGUUAGAAAUAGUUGGCCUAAGCAGGACUCUUAAGUACUCUUCUGCCUAAAUUUCUCAUUAAAGCGCACAAAGCCUUUUUCUUUAACCUGAAACCCAGAGGAAAAGCUAAAAAGGAUUUUUAAAUGAGUGCAUAAUAGAAUGAGUUUUGUAAACCGAGAGCAAAAUACAAAGAGUACGAACUCCAAGGCUACAUAAAGGAAGAAAAGUGAAAAAGCAAAAACAACUCUUAAUUGCCAAAUGUAUUGUCAACCAAGAGCCGGCAAUAAGUCUCGUAGAGGACUAAUGAAAACAGCUUACAGAAACGUGGGCAACAGAGCACUACACAAAAGUGAGGCAAAGCAAACAAAGGUGUGCCAAAGAGAUGGAAGAAAUUACAAACAAGCAAAGAAUGGGAGAAAUUUAAAGCAAAUUUAGGUCUAGAGAAGAACAAGAAAGAGAUCUCAGCUCCUCCUCCAGUCAAAUCGAGUUUGUUAUAAGUCGCCUCUGAACGGGCGAUAGAUUUUUGGGAGGUGCCUCGGAGAUAUUGGUCGAAGCAGGCCUUCCAAAUGUCGUACGCCAUGCCAACCACUCAGCUCUUGCGUUCGCUUUUGAUUUGGAAAGGAUAUUUAAUGUCGCUGCAUACAGAGACUUUAAGUCCAGAAUGUCAAAGAAAAAACAGUUAUUUUCCUAGUUUUCUAUCAUAUUUUUUCCA
RNAcentral lists this long non-coding RNA (1743 nucleotides) under Ceratitis capitata (Mediterranean fruit fly). RNAcentral's name for it is "uncharacterized LOC110118696". Lineage: Eukaryota; Metazoa; Arthropoda; Insecta; Diptera; Tephritidae. The record is from RNAcentral.